RNAcentral lists this transfer-messenger RNA (366 nucleotides) under Deltaproteobacteria bacterium. It matches the Rfam family "transfer-messenger RNA". Rfam says of the family: Bacterial tmRNA, also known as 10Sa RNA or SsrA, is named for its dual tRNA and mRNA-like properties. Lineage: Bacteria; Pseudomonadati; Myxococcota; Myxococcia. The record is from RNAcentral.
GGGGGCGAAACGGAUUCGACGGGGAUGUGUAAGCUCACUGUUGCAUGCCGAGCUUCUUCUUGCUCGUAAAACCAGGAGAACCUAAAUAUAAUCGCAGACGAUUAUAACUACGCAGUAGCAGCUUAAUACCUGUCAUACUGCCGUUCCACCGGUCUUCGCCCGUAAGGCCGGAUUUGGGGCGUCGACUCAACGGGCUGGUUUCCAUGGGGCCGACGGUCCCCCUGGCGACGAGACGCAACCGCCUAGCUUGACAAAAUCUAGGUUCCGACUGAGUUUGCCAAGCGAAAACUAAAGCCCGGAACUAAGCAUGUAGAUACGGGAGGGGAGCAUUUUCGGACGCGGGUUCGACUCCCGCCGCCUCCACCA